This 253-nucleotide ribosomal RNA is filed under the name uncultured bacterium. Its description in RNAcentral is "partial 16S ribosomal RNA". It matches the Rfam family "Bacterial small subunit ribosomal RNA", at positions 524 to 776 of the family's 1533-position model. The record is from RNAcentral.
UACAGAGGUCCCAAGCGUUGUUCGGAUUCACUGGGCGUAAAGGGUGCGUAGGUGGUGGGGUAAGUCGGAUGUGAAAGCUCGGAGCUCAACUCCGAAAUGGCAUUGGAAACUACCCUGCUAGAGGAUUGGAGGGGGGACUGGAAUACUUGGUGUAGCAGUGAAAUGCGUAGAUAUCAAGUGGAACACCAGUGGCGAAGGCGGGUCUCUGGACAGUUCCUGACACUGAGGCACGAAGGCCAGGGGAGCAAACGGG